CCUACGGGUGACAGCAGUGAGGAAUAUUGGUCAAUGGGCGAGAGCCUGAACCAGCCAAGUCGCGUGAAGGAUGACGGCCCUACGGGUUGUAAACUUCUUUUGUCAGGGAGCAAUUGGGUCCACGCAUGGGCUUAGCGAGAGUACCUGAAGAAAAAGCAUCGGCUAACUCCGUGCCAGCAGCCGCGGUAAUACGGAGGAUGCGAGCGUUAUCCGGAUUUAUUGGGUUUAAAGGGUGCGUAGGCGGAAUAUCAAGUCAGCGGUAAAAAUUCGGGGCUCAACCCCGUCGUGCCGUUGAAACUGAUGGUCUUGAGUGGGCGAGAAGUAUGCGGAAUGCGUGGUGUAGCGGUGAAAUGCAUAGAUAUCACGCAGAACUCCGAUUGCGAAGGCAGCAUACCGGCGCCCAACUGACGCUGAAGCACGAAAGCGUGGGUAUCGAACAGGAUUAGAUACCCCAGUAGUC
This 460-nucleotide ribosomal RNA is filed under the name uncultured bacterium. Its description in RNAcentral is "partial 16S ribosomal RNA". It matches the Rfam family "Bacterial small subunit ribosomal RNA", at positions 338 to 795 of the family's 1533-position model. The record is from RNAcentral.